AGCUUUGCUCGUGAACCAAAUAUGGUGGGCUGGGUUGUCUUUGCGGAAACGCUUGGGCGACUUGUCUACGAAUUGUAAUCAUAAUAUGGGCGGCGGUGAAUCCUUUGCAGACGACUUGAAUGGGAACGGGGUACUGUAAGUGGUAGAGUAGCCUUGUUGCUACGAUCCACUGAGGUUAAGCCCUUGUUCUAAAGAUUUGU
Molecule: ribosomal RNA, 200 nt
Filed under: Armillaria gallica
Lineage: Eukaryota; Fungi; Basidiomycota; Agaricomycetes; Agaricales; Physalacriaceae
Description: partial 28S ribosomal RNA
Rfam family: Eukaryotic large subunit ribosomal RNA
Source: RNAcentral